This 355-nucleotide long non-coding RNA is filed under the name Homo sapiens (human). Lineage: Eukaryota; Metazoa; Chordata; Mammalia; Primates; Hominidae. The record is from RNAcentral.
AAAAGAAAAAGAAAAAACUAAACAAAAAAUCCCUCUAGGUAGUUUAGGUGAAAAAUGUCCCUUUUAUUUUGGCUUUGGUUGUGAUUUCAGAGCAUAAUGCUUUGUUUUUUUGUCUUUUUACUAUGUUUUUCAGAUUUUUAAGUCCGUAAGUGCAUACAGUUUUCUCUAAUUUUUAAACCCUUUCCUCCUCCCAUUUUGACAUUUGCACUUGGAGAACACUUGAGUUGUGAAGGUUUUGGGCAUCCACCCCAGAAAGUGGGAAUUUGAUUUUAUCCUUCCGAACUGGAAGAACAUUUUUAUGAAGAAUUUUUGUCUAGGAGAAUAUAACAGUGUUACCCAAGCUUGUGUCUUUAAG